CUGGAGGUAUCAGAAGUGCGAAUGCUGACAUAAGUAACGAUAAAGCGGGUGAAAAGCCCGCUCGCCGGAAGACCAAGGGUUCCUGUCCAACGUUAAUCGGGGCAGGGUGAGUCGACCCCUAAGGCGAGGCCGAAAGGCGUAGUCGAUGGGAAACAGGUUAAUAUUCCUGUACUUGGUGUUACUGCGAAGGGGGGACGGAGAAGGCUAUGUUGGCCGGGCGACGGUUGUCCCGGUUUAAGCGUGUAGGCUGGUUUUCCAGGCAAAUCCGGAAAAUCAAGGCUGAGGCGUGAUGACGAGGCACUACGGUGCUGAAGCAACAAAUGCCCUGCUUCCAGGAAAAGCCUCUAAGCAUCAGGUAACAUCAAAUCGUACCCCAAACCGACACAGGUGGUCAGGUAGAGAAUACCAAGGCGCUUGAGAGAACUCGGGUGAAGGAACUAGGCAAAAUGGUGCCGUAACUUCGGGAGAAGGCACGCUGAUAUGUAGGUGAGGUCCCUCGC
This 500-nucleotide ribosomal RNA is filed under the name Escherichia coli. RNAcentral describes it as "partial 23S ribosomal RNA". It matches the Rfam family "Bacterial large subunit ribosomal RNA", at positions 1273 to 1771 of the family's 2925-position model. Lineage: Bacteria; Pseudomonadati; Pseudomonadota; Gammaproteobacteria; Enterobacterales; Enterobacteriaceae. The record is from RNAcentral.